Molecule: long non-coding RNA, 715 nt
Organism: Tyto alba (common barn owl)
Lineage: Eukaryota; Metazoa; Chordata; Aves; Strigiformes; Tytonidae
Exons: 3
Source: RefSeq, a predicted model, not a curated record
CUCUGCUAGAUUUAAUCAACCAUUUGUGUCUGUCAUCUCAGCAAGAAGCCCUUUUGCUUCCUGAGGCAUUAAAAUGACACGAUAUGAGGCAGAACCAGAAAAAGAGUUCAUUUACAGGGAGAUUUGACUCCAGUCCAGAGAACCGUGCAGGUCGGACCCCCGCAGAGCUGCAGAUGAGAGCGAUCCCUGUUCCCCAUUGCACUUCUGCAAGGGUGCCUGCUGCUGCCCACCCCGCUGCACCUGCCCGCCGUACCCCAGUGCUGCCACUCCUCAAAAUCUCGGCGGUACAAACGGGUACACCCAACCCCUCUGCUGCGACCCCAGCACUGGAGUAGGAGUUGGGACUUGCCACACCACACAAAACACCAUCCCAGCAGCAGGAGCAAUGAGCUCCCGGAGGCCAUCAGCAUGGGCACCUCUCCUCUGACCAUCGCCAGCCGCUCACGUGGACAUCGCUCAGCAGAGCUGCGUAGAGGCAGAGGAGGACUAGUGUGAGACAGGACGGCGUGCCGUUUGAAUAAGAUACAUUGGUUCCAGACUAAUUCUGCUUAUUUAUAACACAGUAAUGAUAGAUAUUGCCACUCCUGAAAUCUGGAAGUGUACAAGUUUCAACAAAACAAACCUGAAUGUUAUGGAGGAGGCUUCUAUUGUCUGAAACUGUACCUCUAAAAAGCUGAACUUGAAAGAGAGGAAGCCUGGAGAACAGUGUCGUAUC